GUGUUUGUAGCUUAACUGGAAUAAAAGCGUUAAACUACGGAUUUAAAGAUUGAAAGUUCGAUUCUUUCCAAACACG
Molecule: transfer RNA, 76 nt
Filed under: Rhodymenia pseudopalmata
Lineage: Eukaryota; Rhodophyta; Florideophyceae; Rhodymeniales; Rhodymeniaceae
Description: tRNA-Arg
Rfam family: tRNA
About the family: Transfer RNA (tRNA) molecules are approximately 80 nucleotides in length. Their secondary structure includes four short double-helical elements and three loops (D, anti-codon, and T loops).
Source: RNAcentral